RNAcentral lists this ribosomal RNA (200 nucleotides) under uncultured bacterium. RNAcentral describes it as "partial 16S ribosomal RNA". It matches the Rfam family "Bacterial small subunit ribosomal RNA", at positions 30 to 242 of the family's 1533-position model. The record is from RNAcentral.
AUUGAACGCUGGCGGCAGGCCUAACACAUGCAAGUCGAGCGGGGUUUUCGGACCUAGCGGCGGACGGGUGAGUAAUGAGUAGGAAGCUGCCCGAUAGAGGGGGAUACCAGUUGGAAACGACUGUUAAUACCGCAUAAUGUCUACGGACCAAAGUGUGGGACCUUCGGGCCACAUGCUAUCGGAUGCGCCUACGUGGGGUU